GAGGCAGGGCUCGAGUCCUGCAGGAACUUGUGGGAACGGCGUUCCUGCACUUUUUCCACAGCAGGGACGCCGUUCCUGUUGGUAGUCCUGCAGGACCUGCCCUUGUGCCGAGGCCAAGGAUCUCCCCUGCCGUCCCAUGGAGAGCCGACACUGCGCAGUUGCUUUGGGCCCUUCGUCCGUGACAGGGAGGGAGGAGGGAGCUGGGAGAAGUACAGACAGCCUGCAGGCUAAAGAGCACUGCUUACCACCGGACCACCAGGGUUUGCAGUGUGUCCCCCUCCCUGAAUAUAGGUAAGAAGAAUGGGGAGAAACAAAUCUUUUACGAAUGGUUUUUUUUUUUUUUUAAUUAAAAUAAUAAAUAUACAUAUGCUGUCUUAACCUUAUGCACCCCUCACACAAACACAGCACCCCUCCCACACACACAGCACCCCUCACAAACACACACUCUGCACCCCUCUCACACACAGAAGCCCCCCACACACACUCUGCACCCCUUACACACACUGCACCCCUCACACACUUUGCGCCCCCACACACAGCACCUCUAACACACUCUGCACCCCUCACACACACCAUCCCUCACACUCACCACCCCUACACACAUACACUGCACCCCUCACUAAAGUCUGUGUGUGUGUAGUCAGCAGUUGGUGUGUGCUGAGUAUACACACAGACUGCUGAGUAAACACACACGGACUGCUGAAUACACAGACAGACUGCUGAAUACACAAUCUGUGUAUUCAGCAGUCUCUGUGUGUGUAUUCAGCAGUCUGUCGAUAAUUUACAAUUUUAUUCCUGUGAAUUGUGGUGUAGGUAGGGGCUCCAGUGCACUAUAAUGCCGUUAAGAUGGCACUGGUCAUCAUUUGAGUUUAUCAACUUCCUACAAGUGCGCAGAGGAGACAAACUUGUUUACAAAUCACAAACAGUUUGCUUUUGUGUUACUACUGUAAAUUUUCCAGUAUGUAUCAGGUUUUUAUCUUUGUGGUUGCUGAAGCAUAUUCAGUUGUUUAUCGCUUUCGGGAUAUUAAUAUACAACCAUAUUAGAAUGUCUUUGUGACGAGACCAAUCUCGCCACAUUGCAUUGGAGAAGCCUGGUUACUCGCCUGCUGCCUUUGGACUAUGGCCCCCUGUUAAAAGACAUCUUUUUU
This is a non-coding RNA of Pelobates cultripes (western spadefoot toad), 1148 nucleotides long. The record is from the annotation of a GenBank genome assembly. NCBI's taxonomy places the organism in Eukaryota, Metazoa, Chordata, Amphibia, Anura, Pelobatidae.